GAAGCAUCCAUAGCUUAGCGAUUAUGUUCUUAUAGAUAAGGAUUAGACGGAUGAGUACAUGUUUAACAACCAUAACAAACGUUGACUCGUCCACCAUGAAAAUACAGGGAAAGAAGCUCAACCAAACUAAGCUUACAAACAUAACUCCACUUAUCAUGCACGGAGAUGGUAGCAGCUAAUUAAACAGGCUUCCUUUCCGUACAGGAAAAACCAAUGCUGAAGGAAAAAAAAAGAGGACUUACAAAAGGCCCCAGCAAGCGCAACACACAUCCAAUCCCUAAAUACGCCGGCGACACACCACGGUAAUCACAGAAUAAAGGCACAAAUACAUGCCCGAACACAAAGGGACGCAUUCACCAGGUGAGCCGGCCACCAGGAUGAAGCGACCACAUGAGGCGCAGACGUAGCUGAAGCACACCUCCUCCAAACGCAGUCAUCCCCACCAGAAGCCUGGACCGUAGACAGCUUGACCAACUCCCCCAAAUUGCCUCCCACAUCAAUCAGCUAAACAAGGGGAUCGAAUAAUAUACCGCAGCGCAGGAGAGGAACACUCCAACUGUAGGAAAAAAGAACAGAGGGGAAGGAAUGGUAUACCGAGAGACGAAACCGACGAAGAAGGCCGGCCCCAACGCACCGACCAGAGACGGCAGCUGCAACAGGACCGGGAUAGAAGCUCCGUCCCCCUCCGUCCGGCGUCCGCGCAGCUCCAAUACGACCCACAGCAACCUCCACCUCCGCCAACAGCGCCGCCGACGCAGUCGCACAAGCGGCACCCGCGGCGGCCCAACCCCACCAGCAGCAAGAGCGGAAGAGGGGGGGCAGCCGGAACGCUCGCCCCAGAAGCUCCAAAUGCCGCCCAGCACGCCGCAG
Molecule: long non-coding RNA, 870 nt
Filed under: Triticum aestivum (bread wheat)
Lineage: Eukaryota; Viridiplantae; Streptophyta; Magnoliopsida; Poales; Poaceae
Description: long non-coding RNA (TAES_LNC024416)
Source: RNAcentral